GUGCUAAGGUAGCAUAAUCAUUUGUUUCUUAAUUGGUAGCUGGAAUGAAUGGUUGAGCUGGUUUAGUAAGUGUGUGAGUUUAAAUAGGAAGUUAAAGUCAAGGUAAGAAUUCUUUGAUAGUUUAGGGGACGAUAAGACCCUACAAGCUUAAUAAGUAUACUAGUGAAUUUGUUUUACAGGUUAAUUUAUUUUACUGGGGCGGUAUUGGCGGUUUGACCAUCUAUUUAGCUAAGAUCCUAAAAAUAUAGAAGAAUCGUAAAAGUUACUUUAGGGUUAACAGUGCAAUAUUUUUGGAGAGACCUUAUCGAUAGAUGUGUUUGCUACCUCGAUGUUGAAUUAAAAUUUCUACGUGAGGUAGAAAGUAUAGUAGAGGGUUUGUUCAACCUUUAAAUUUUUACAUGAUCUGAGUUCAAACCGGAG
This 420-nucleotide ribosomal RNA is filed under the name Eulimnogammarus inconspicuous. RNAcentral describes it as "partial 16S ribosomal RNA". It matches the Rfam family "Bacterial large subunit ribosomal RNA", at positions 1948 to 2621 of the family's 2925-position model. Lineage: Eukaryota; Metazoa; Arthropoda; Malacostraca; Amphipoda; Eulimnogammaridae. The record is from RNAcentral.